Long non-coding RNA from Lotus japonicus, 1294 nucleotides. RefSeq lists it as uncharacterized. The transcript is spliced from 2 exons. Lineage: Eukaryota; Viridiplantae; Streptophyta; Magnoliopsida; Fabales; Fabaceae. The record is from RefSeq and is a predicted model, not a curated record.
ACACCACUACGAUGACAACAUACUCACAGUUUGUUGGUAUAUCAUUCACAAUAAGCUAAAAAAUAAUAUAUACUAUAUAUCUCAUUCCCAAAUAGUGAAAAUAUUUUCAAUCCUUUCAUAGCAUUACUCACUAACUCUCUUGAACGUGGGAUACGACGUCGUUUCUAUCUCCCCAUCUCCCAUCAACCCUAGCUGGCUUAACGUGUUUCCUCUCCCCUUUCUACCCACUCCGUCGUACCAUUCAUCAGCGUGAAGUUGAGGCUUUCCUUUCUGUUGCCGGUUGUUGUUUGCCAGACAUGGUGGAACCAUUCACGUCUCUACAUCUCAAACUCUCCACUGUUCAUUCGUCAUUCAGCAGUGUUUUAGGUUUGAAUCCAUCAGUGUUUUGGGUUUCCUCUCCUCCUCUGUAGGGUUCUCACGUUUUCUGAUCCAAUUGAUGAUGGAGGAUUUCAUCACGUUGAUGAUGGCUCCAAUGGUAAUAUGAGUUUCCUUUAUCCAAUUCUUCACUCUUUCAUUAAAACCCCAUUACUAAAUUGAUUGUACAAAUAGUUAAUCUACCAAUAUUCAGUCGAUUGCUACUUGAGCUUUUGCACUACGAAGUGGUUACAAAAUAUUACAUGGCACAAACUGUAAUAUUACCAGGGAAGGAUUGACUACCUUUUUACCUGUCUGGAGUGUUGUUAUGUGUAUUUCUCAAUGAAGGAAAAUAACAGCUAUCCUUUUAAAGGGAUGCAGGGGAAGAUUACACACCAGUUGUGACACCUCUUAUUGCUAAAGAAUAAAGUUAUUUAUGUUGGUUUAUGUUGAGUAAUGGACACUACCAGUCGUACUGCAUCUUCAACCUCACUUGAACUACUUUGAUGCUUUGCAAUUCAUUAUUUUCUAUUUGAUAUCCUGUUCUGGAGCAUUAUGUUUUGGGGGAAGUUUCUACUUCAGUGAUAACUGGUUUUCCUUUCUCUCUAUACUCAACCUUUGUGAUUGAGGCUCGUCAUGGAUUUAAUAAGGUUCAUAUCCUCCUUUCAACUUCAAUCAUCUAUCUCUUAUUUCAUCAAUCUUUUUAGUCUGCAGCUUUUGAGUUUGAUCUGACAUCUCAUUUUGCUAAUAUUGAUAGAAGUGUAUCUGUUGUAAAAUUCAUAUAUACAUUGUAACAUUUGUUGUUAUCUAUCAUACAACAAACACCAUGUCUAUUCUUUAAGGACAUGAUAAAAGGAAUUUUCCUUUAUGUAAUAAUUGGUUCACCUAUUGUUGUUGCAAUUAUAAUAGUACAUAUAAAAUCUCAGACUAUUGGAAAUAA